UGGGGAAUAUUGGACAAUGGGCGCAAGCCUGAUCCAGCCAUGCCGCGUGAGUGAUGAAGGCCCUAGGGUUGUAAAGCUCUUUCGCCAGGGACGAUAAUGACGGUACCUGGAUAAGAAGCCCCGGCUAACUUCGUGCCAGCAGCCGCGGUAAUACGAAGGGGGCUAGCGUUGUUCGGAAUCACUGGGCGUAAAGCGCACGUAGGCGGACUGUUAAGUCAGGGGUGAAAUCCUGGGGCUCAACCCCAGAACUGCCUUUGAUACUGGCGGUCUUGAGUGUGGAAGAGGUUGGUGGAACUCCGAGUGUAGAGGUGAAAUUCGUAGAUAUUCGGAAGAACACCAGUGGCGAAGGCGGCCAACUGGUCCACUACUGACGCUGAGGUGCGAAAGCGUGGGGAGCAAACAGGAUUAGAUACCCCGGUAGUCC
This 424-nucleotide ribosomal RNA is filed under the name uncultured bacterium. RNAcentral's name for it is "bacterial SSU rRNA". It matches the Rfam family "Bacterial small subunit ribosomal RNA", at positions 355 to 796 of the family's 1533-position model. The record is from RNAcentral.